This is a non-coding RNA of Pelobates cultripes (western spadefoot toad), 287 nucleotides long. The record is from the annotation of a GenBank genome assembly. Lineage: Eukaryota; Metazoa; Chordata; Amphibia; Anura; Pelobatidae.
UAUUAAUAUUGGAUGUAUGGUUUUGGAGUUAUGAAAGUUGGGUAAAAAGUGUGUUUUAAAAUGUAUGGAUAAUUGGGUUACCUCUCAGGCUAAGGGGAGGAGAUGUGUGGGAUGUAACCAUUGUGUGAUUGGUUGUACUGUGUCCCACCCUGUGGGAUGUCCCCUUGCAUGGGGACCUGCAUAAAAGAAGGUUCUUUGUGUGCCAAUAAACAGUUCAUCUUUGUACCCUUAUUCUGACUACGUAUGCUGUUUGGGAGUUCGUGUGUUUUACUGUGGGAAUUAUCCAG